This 671-nucleotide ribosomal RNA is filed under the name Kosakonia cowanii. RNAcentral's name for it is "bacterial SSU rRNA". It matches the Rfam family "Bacterial small subunit ribosomal RNA", at positions 54 to 714 of the family's 1533-position model. Lineage: Bacteria; Pseudomonadati; Pseudomonadota; Gammaproteobacteria; Enterobacterales; Enterobacteriaceae. The record is from RNAcentral.
CAUGCUAGUCUAACGGUAACAGGAAGCAGCUUGCUGCUUUGCUGACGAGUGGCGGACGGGUGAGUAAUGUCUGGGAAACUGCCUGAUGGAGGGGGAUAACUACUGGAAACGGUAGCUAAUACCGCAUAACGUCGCAAGACCAAAGAGGGGGACCUUCGGGCCUCUUGCCAUCAGAUGUGCCCAGAUGGGAUUAGCUAGUAGGUGGGGUAACGGCUCACCUAGGCGACGAUCCCUAGCUGGUCUGAGAGGAUGACCAGCCACACUGGAACUGAGACACGGUCCAGACUCCUACGGGAGGCAGCAGUGGGGAAUAUUGCACAAUGGGCGCAAGCCUGAUGCAGCCAUGCCGCGUGUAUGAAGAAGGCCUUCGGGUUGUAAAGUACUUUCAGCGGGGAGGAAGGCGAUGCGGUUAAUAACCGCGUCGAUUGACGUUACCCGCAGAAGAAGCACCGGCUAACUCCGUGCCAGCAGCCGCGGUAAUACGGAGGGUGCAAGCGUUAAUCGGAAUUACUGGGCGUAAAGCGCACGCAGGCGGUCUGUCAAGUCGGAUGUGAAAUCCCCGGGCUCAACCUGGGAACUGCAUCCGAAACUGGCAGGCUUGAGUCUCGUAGAGGGGGGUAGAAUUCCAGGUGUAGCGGUGAAAUGCGUAGAGAUCUGGAGGAAUACCGGUG